CCUACGGGCGGCAGCAGUGAGGAAUAUUGGUCAAUGGGCGUAAGCCUGAACCAGCCAAGUCGCGUGAGGGAUGAAGGUUCUAUGGAUCGUAAACCUCUUUUAUAAGGGAAUAAAGUGUGGGACGUGUCCUGUUUUGUAUGUACCUUAUGAAUAAGGAUCGGCUAACUCCGUGCCAGCAGCCGCGGUAAUACGGAGGAUCCGAGCGUUAUCCGGAUUUAUUGGGUUUAAAGGGUGCGUAGGCGGCCUUUUAAGUCAGCGGUGAAAGUUUGUGGCUCAACCAUAGAAUUGCCGUUGAAACUGGGAGGCUUGAGUAUGUUUGAGGCAGGCGGAAUGCGUGGUGUAGCGGUGAAAUGCUUAGAUAUCAUGCAGAACCCCGAUUGCGAAGGCAGCCUGCCAGGCCAUGACUGACGCUGAUGCACGAAAGCGUGGGGAUCAAACAGGAUUAGAUACCCCAGUAGUC
Molecule: ribosomal RNA, 460 nt
Filed under: uncultured bacterium
Lineage: Bacteria
Description: partial 16S ribosomal RNA
Rfam family: Bacterial small subunit ribosomal RNA
Source: RNAcentral